This 497-nucleotide ribosomal RNA is filed under the name uncultured bacterium. RNAcentral describes it as "partial 16S ribosomal RNA". It matches the Rfam family "Bacterial small subunit ribosomal RNA", at positions 28 to 507 of the family's 1533-position model. The record is from RNAcentral.
GACGAACGCUGGCGGCGUGCCUAAUACAUGCAAGUAGAACGCUGAAGAGAGGAGCUUGCUCUUCUUGGAUGAGUUGCGAACGGGUGAGUAACGCGUAGGUAACCUGCCUGGUAGCGUGGGAUAACUAUUGGAAACGAUAGCUAAUACCGCAUAACAACAGUUGUUGCAUGACUGCUGUUUAAAAGAUGCAAUUGCAUCACUACCAGAUGGACCUGCGUUGUAUUAACUAGUUGGUGAGGUAACGGCUCACCAAGGCGAAGAUACAUAACCCGCCUGAGGAGGUGGACGGCCCACACGGGACUGGGAACAGGGCCAAGAUCCUUCGGGAGGCAGCAGUAGGGAAUCUUCGGCAAUGGGGGGAACCCUGACCGGGCAACGCCGCGUGAGUGGAGAAGGUUUUCGGAUCGUAAAGCUCUGUUGAAAGAGAAGAACGGGUGUGGGAGUGGAAAGUUCACACUGUGACGGUAUCUUACCAGAAAGGGACGGCUAACUACGUG